Molecule: non-coding RNA, 94 nt
Organism: Ataeniobius toweri
Lineage: Eukaryota; Metazoa; Chordata; Actinopteri; Cyprinodontiformes; Goodeidae
Source: the annotation of a GenBank genome assembly
GCACUGGUGGUGUAGGGGUUAAGCGCGCGACCAUGCGCAGAGGCUAUAGUCCUCGGUGCGGCUGUCCCGGGUUCGAGUCCCGGACUCGAAUGUC